CGCCGGGGCUCCGGGGACCCCCGGCGAGGCGGGGGCGGGGGCCGAGGAGCGCGAGCAGCCGGUGGACACGACCGGACGCGGGAGGCAUCUCCGGCCCAGCGGCGGCCGAGCUUCCACGUGUGUGAGCCGAGGAGCCCCGGCUCUCUGGCUUAGCAAGUUUGGGUUCUGCCUCAGCGGUGCUCGUUGGUUUGGGCUGCCGCUUCUCCGGAAACAGGCUCCUCGCUCACCUGCCCCGCUGGCCUUCAGGCAUUUAUUAAGCGCCUGCUGUGUGCAUGGGCACUGAGGUGGGAGGGGGCCGGGUGGCAGAUUCUCGUCAGCUUAGUUCCCUAUGUGGUCAGGGGAGUGGCAUCCUCGGGUGACUUUGCGAAUAGCAGAUGCGCGAAUGCCAAAUUACACUCAGCUGCUAUUAAACGCCUUCGGUAUUCGAGGCAUAGGUCUAGGACGGUCUGGGACACCAAGGCAGAAUGGAUACUACUCUCCCCUCCCCCCGGAGUUUACCUCCCUUCCGAGAUCACAUCCAGUUUAUCCUGUAUAGAUCUUGUGUGGCUAAGUGAAUUACUCAAGUUCCCAGCGAAAGAUUUUGGUGGAGCCUGAACUAGAACUCAGGUCAAAAGACUUUGUAACUAUGGUGUUGAACCAAAUAUCUAAAGUCAAUUAAAUUUAAAAAAAUUAAACC
Phascolarctos cinereus (koala) is the source of this 676-nucleotide non-coding RNA. The record is from RefSeq and is a predicted model, not a curated record. Lineage: Eukaryota; Metazoa; Chordata; Mammalia; Diprotodontia; Phascolarctidae.